RNAcentral lists this unclassified non-coding RNA (207 nucleotides) under Hevea brasiliensis (rubber tree). The record is from RNAcentral. Lineage: Eukaryota; Viridiplantae; Streptophyta; Magnoliopsida; Malpighiales; Euphorbiaceae.
CCCUCGACGAGGAACAGAAGUUCAAGGCGGAAGCCCGCCGGAACAAGUUGCUGGGUCUCUGGGCGGCCGAAAAACUGGGCAAAACCGGUGAUGACGCCGUGGCCUACUCCAAGGAGGUCGUCGCGGCCGAUUUCGAGGAAGCCGGCGAUACCGACGUCCUGCGCAAGGUCGCAGCCGACCUCGCCAGCAAGGGCGUCUCGGAGACCG